Molecule: small nuclear RNA, 100 nt
Organism: Balaenoptera musculus (blue whale)
Lineage: Eukaryota; Metazoa; Chordata; Mammalia; Artiodactyla; Balaenopteridae
Source: Ensembl
GUGCUCUCUUUAGCAGCACAUAUGCUAAAAUUGGAACGGCAUAGAGAAGAUUAGUCUGGCCCCUGUGCAAGGAUAAAUUCAUAAAGUGUUUUAUAUUUUU